GCAAAUUGGAUGGAGAGGUUGAAAGCUAUUUCAACGGUGUUUCUCCUGGAGUUCUCAAAAAGAAAAAUACUCGACAAAACUGUGUACAGGUAUCAAAAGGUGCCAAAAGCAUAAAUUCCUCAAGUACAAGAUUGUUUGUAAGAAAAUAACUCCCUCCAAAACAGUUUACCAUCUGAGGAAGGAAGGCUCAGUUAUCACAACUCCAAAUCACUGAAACCCGGUAUUGCACAACACAGAUUGAUGCAGGAAAUCAGAAAACGAACACAGCUGUCUCACAGAGCAAACCAGCACCUUUAGCCAGAGAACUCCCUAGUCAAACAGCAGAAAACAAGGACAGAGAACUUCUGGAAUCUUGUAAAACUUCUGGAAUCUUGUAAACCAGUAUAGCAGGAUAAAAAAUGCGACCAGACCCUCUUGCAUUCAAGCUCCCCUAAAUCAAUACAACAGAGAGGGCCAGUUACUAAUUGACUCCCCGCCUAAUUUUUUCAGGAAAUAAGAAAGGAAACCAAAAAGGGAGGAGGGAAAAACUCCCAAUUUCGUAUAAUAUUCGGAUGCAAUAUCUUUUUUAGCUCCACCUAAGGCUAGGAUUCUGCCAAGCCACGAGGACAUCAAAAGAACAAGAAAAAGAAAAGACGACGAUCUUGAUAACAAAGAACAAUCGGGAAAUUACUAAUCAACAAACCCGACAAUAGUAAAAACACAAAUCUUCAUCAAUCUUCGAACGACACCACACCAAAACUAUUCAAAGUCCAGAUCACCGCCUACAGCAAUAAGAACAACAAUAACCACACCACAGAUAUGAAAAAAAAACUCCAGGAUUCAGAUUACGCUCACAUCCAUCCAAGAGAGAGUUCCUUCCCACUGUACAUGCCCGAAAUCCAUCAUUCUGCAAUAAGCACAUCAAAAAAACCAGAAAAGCAUUAAUUUUGGAGGAGACUUGAUGUCAAAUUUGUCUGAUAAUUGGAAUUAUCCAGAAAUUACCACAUAAACAAACCAAAACUACUGCAAAAAAUGGUAUCCUUCCCGUUCAAUCCUUCGAAAUACCAGAGCCACCGCCCGGAAACAACCAUGAUUAAAUCUCAAAAAUCGCCAUAAAAAAAUUAGCGAUAAUAAGCUUCAAAUUAAUCAAAUCAUCAAACCAUAGAAGCAACGGUCGAACCCAGUGAAGAUCAUCAAUUGAAGAUCCUAACCUUCUGCUAAUCCUAGACUCGAGAAAGAGCAGCAAAGUAGGUGCAGGCAAAUUGAAUGGAGAGGUUGAAAGCUAUUUCAGCAGUGUGUGUCCUGAAGUUCUAAAAAAGAAAAAAAAAACUCGAGAAAACAGUGUGCAGAUAUCAAAAGGUGCCAAAAGCAUAAAUUCCUCAAGCACAAGAUUAUGGGUGAGAAGAUAACUCCCUCCAAAUCAGUUUACCAUCUGAGGAAGGCUGGCUCAGUUAUCACCACAACUCCGAAUCACUGAAACCCUAUAUUGUACAACACAAUCCUAGACUCAAGAGAAAGAGCAGCAAAAUAGGUGCAGGUAAAUUGAAUGGUGCCAAAAGCAUAAAUUCCUCAAGCACAAGAUUAUGGGUGAGAAGAUAACUCCCUCCGAAUCAGUUUACCAUCUGAGGAAGGAAGGCUCAGUUAUCACCACAACUCCGAAUCACUGAAACCCUAUAUUGCACAACACAAUCCUAGACUCAAGAGAAGAGCAGCGAAAUAGGUGCAGGCAAAUUGAAUGGAGAGGUUGAAAGCUAUUUCAACACAGCGUGUCCUGUAAGUUCCAAAAAAGAAAAAAAAAACUAGAUAGAACAGCGUGCAGAUAUCAAAAGGUGCCAAAAGCAUAAAUUCCUGAAGCACAAGAUUAUGGGUGAGAAGAUAACUCCCUCCAAAUCAGUUUACCAUCUGAGGAAGGAAGGCUCAGUUAUC
This 1905-nucleotide long non-coding RNA is filed under the name Coffea arabica (coffee). RNAcentral describes it as "long non-coding RNA (CARA_LNC007302)". The record is from RNAcentral. Lineage: Eukaryota; Viridiplantae; Streptophyta; Magnoliopsida; Gentianales; Rubiaceae.